AUCAAGAUCAACCAAAUAGAUGUUGCCAUCCCUAUGUCCAAUGAACUCUAUACUUUCAUCAAAGCCAAAGGGACUAGAAAUAAUACACAUAAAAGAUUCAAAAGUAACUUUGAAAUUUUUAUCACAAAGUUGAUUUAUACUAAGCAAAUUAUAUUUUAAACUAUCAAAUAGUAGAACAUUCUCUAUAAAGAUAAAAGAAGUAAUGUUUAUUUUAUCAAUUCUAAUGAUUUUGUCUUUGCCAUUGUCGUUAAAAGUUACUACUCUUCCUUCCUUUAUUUUAAAGGUGAUA
Molecule: long non-coding RNA, 289 nt
Filed under: Elaeis guineensis (African oil palm)
Lineage: Eukaryota; Viridiplantae; Streptophyta; Magnoliopsida; Arecales; Arecaceae
Description: long non-coding RNA (EGUI_LNC013167)
Source: RNAcentral